RNAcentral lists this ribosomal RNA (1966 nucleotides) under human metagenome. RNAcentral describes it as "bacterial LSU rRNA". It matches the Rfam family "Bacterial large subunit ribosomal RNA", at positions 1 to 1977 of the family's 2925-position model. The record is from RNAcentral.
AAAAGUAAAAGAAGGGCAGACGGUGGAUGCCUUGGCUCUCGGAGGCGACGAAGGACGUGAUAAGCUGCGAUAAGCUACGGGGAUUGGCACAUACAAAUUGAUCCGUAGAUUUCCGAAUGGGGCAACCCGGCAUAUUGAAGAUAUGUCACACUGCAGAGCAGUGAGCGAACGUGGGGAACUGAAACAUCUAAGUACCCAUAGGAGAAGAAAACAAAAGUGAUUCCCUUAGUAGUGGCGAGCGAACGGGGACUAGCCCAAACCAGAUUUGUUUCGGCAAAACUGGGGUUGUAGGACCUCGACAUAGGAAGACAAGAUUAGGAGAACGGUCUGGAAAGGCCGGCCAUAGAACAUGACAGCUGUGUAUCCGAAAAUCUUCGUUGGACUUAGAGGUAUCCUGAGUAGCGCGGGACACGUGAAAUCCUGUGUGAAUCUGCGGGGCCCAUCCCGUAAGGCUAAAUACUCCCGAGAGACCGAUAGUGAACCAGUACCGUGAGGGAAAGGUGAAAAGAACCUCGAACAGAGGAGUGCAAUAGAUCCUGAACCCGUCUGCCUACAAGCGGUAGGAGCAGCUUCGAGCUGUGACUGCGUGCCUUUUGCAUAAUGAACCUACGAGUUACUUUCUCUGGCAAGGUUAAGUGAUGAAGAGUCACGUGAGCCGAAGCGAAAGCGAGUCUGAAUAGGGCGAUUUAGUCAGAGGGAGUAGACGCGAAACCAAGUGAUCUACCCUUGGUCAGGUUGAAGGUUGGGUAAAACCAACUGGAGGACCGCACCGGUAAGCGUUGAAAAGCUUUCGGAUGAACUGAGGGUAGGGGUGAAAGGCUAAUCAAACUUGGAGAUAGCUCGUACUCCCCGAAAUGCAUUUAGGUGCAGCCUCGGGUAAGGUACUGAUGAGAGGUAGAGCGACUGAUUGGAUGCGAGGGCUUCACCGCCUAUCAAGUCCGGCCAAACUCCGAAUGCUCAUCAGCAACAUCCCGGGAGUGAGGGCAUGGGUGCUAAGGUCCAUGUCCGAGAGGAGAAGAAUCCAGAUCACCGGCUAAGGUCCCCAAAUAGCAGCUAAGUUGCAUUAACGAAGUCCGACCGCAGCGACAGCCAGGAUGUUGGCUUGGAAGCAGCCAUUCAUUUAAAGAGUGCGUAACAGCUCACUGGUCGAGGGGUCGGGCAUGGAUAAUAAUCGGGCAUAAGCUGUUUACCGAAGCCGUGAGAUCGAAAAGAUCGGUAGGGGAGCAUUCCAUUAUCAGCGUUGAAGAUGAGAGGUGACUCUUGUUGGAGCGGAUGGAAAAGCAAAUGCAGGUAUAAGUAACGAUAAAGGGGGUGAAAAACCUCCUCGCCGAAAGACCAAGGGUUCCUGAUCAACGCUAAUCGGAUCAGGGUUAGUCGGGACCUAAGGCUAAGCCGAAGGGCGAUGCCGAUGGAAGAACCGGUUAAUAUUCCGGUACUGCUUUGUGGAGUGAUGUGGAGACGGAGAAGUGACAGCUCGGCCAUCUGACGGAAUAGGUGGUUAAAGGGUGUAGACGUUGAUUGUUGUAGGCAAAUCCGCAACAAGAGUUGAACCUGACAGUAUGCAGCGUACUUGUACAAUGUAAUAAGAGCGUAAUCAGGCUCCCAAGAAAACCCGCUAAACAUAUCUACAAAGCACCCGUACUCGAAACGGACACACGUGGUCGGGUUGAAAAUACUAAGGCGCUCGAGUGAUUCACGGUUAAGGAACUAGGCAAAAUGGUCCUGUAACUUCGGGAUAAAGGACGCCAAUAGCAAUAUUGGUCGCAGAGAAUAGGCCCAGGCGACUGUUUAACAAAAACACAUGACUAUGCGAAAUCGAAAGAUGAGGUAUAUGGUCUGACACCUGCCCGGUGCUGGAAGGUUAAGAGGAGAUGUCAUCCUGCAAGGGAGAAGCAUUGAAUUGAAGCCCCAGUAAACGGCGGCCGUAACUAUAACGGUCCUAAGGUAGCGAAAUUCCUUGUCGGGU